CCUACGGGUGGCAGCAGUGGGGAAUAUUGGGCAAUGGGCGCAAGCCUGACCCAGCAACGCCGCGUGAAGGAAGAAGGCUCUCGGGUUGUAAACUUCUUUUUUCAGGGACGCAGAAAGUGACGCUACCUGAGGAAUAAGCCAUGGCUAACUACGUGCCAGCAGCCGCAGGUAUACGUAGGUGGCCAGCGUUAUGCGGAUUUAAUGGGUGUAAAGGGCGUGUAGGCGGGAGUGCAAAUCAGAUGGGAAAACUCAGGGCUCAAACCUGGUCCUGCCUUUGAAACUGUGGUUCUUGAGUGCUGGAGAGGCAAUCGGAAUUCGGGGUGUAGCGGUGAAAUGCAUAGAUAUACGGAGGAACACCGGUGGCGAAGGCGGAUUACUGGAGAGUAACUGACGCUGAGGCGCGAAAGCGUGGGGAGCAAACAGGAUUAGAUACCCGAGUAGUC
RNAcentral lists this ribosomal RNA (443 nucleotides) under uncultured bacterium. Its description in RNAcentral is "partial 16S ribosomal RNA". It matches the Rfam family "Bacterial small subunit ribosomal RNA", at positions 338 to 795 of the family's 1533-position model. The record is from RNAcentral.